AUGGGGGCCACUUCUCCUUCAGGCCUGGAGCUCACCAUGGCUGUCCCCGGCCUCAGCUCCUCUUCUGGCUCAGAGGGGUUUGUUUGCAACAACAUCAUCAACAACAACGGUGGCGGGAACAUGAGGGACCUGGACAUGAACCAGCCGGCGAGCGGCGGCGAGGAGGAGGAUUUCCUGAUGGGCGGCCUGGAAGAGGACGAGGAGGAGAGGGGCGCCGGUGGACCGCACCGCCCAAAGAAGCUCCGCCUCUCCAAGGAGCAGUCCCGCCUCCUCGAGGAGAGCUUCCGCCUCAACCACACCCUCUCACCGAAGCAAAAGGAGGCCUUGGCGAUCAAACUGAAGCUGCGGCCCAGGCAGGUGGAGGUCUGGUUUCAGAACCGCAGGGCAAGGACUAAGCUGAAGCACACGGAGAUGGAGUGCGAGUACCUGAAACGCUGCUUCGGCUCGUUGACGGAGGAGAACCGCCGCCUGCAGCGGGAGGUGGAGGAGCUGAGGGCGAUGCGCAUGGCGCCGCCCACGGUGCUCUCGCCGCACACACGCCAGCCACUCCCGGCGUCCGCGCUCACCAUGUGCCCCCGCUGCGAGCGCGUCACCGCUGCCACCGGCCCGCGGAUCACCCGCCCGGCCGCCUCGCCGUUCCACCCUCGCCGCCCCUCAGCGGCGUUUUAG
This 669-nucleotide ribosomal RNA is filed under the name Triticum aestivum (bread wheat). RNAcentral's name for it is "partial small subunit ribosomal RNA". The record is from RNAcentral. Lineage: Eukaryota; Viridiplantae; Streptophyta; Magnoliopsida; Poales; Poaceae.